RNAcentral lists this unclassified non-coding RNA (422 nucleotides) under Hevea brasiliensis (rubber tree). The record is from RNAcentral. Lineage: Eukaryota; Viridiplantae; Streptophyta; Magnoliopsida; Malpighiales; Euphorbiaceae.
UGAUAUUUUUGCAACUUAAUUAAUUACAUGGGGAAUCCAAAGCCAUGAUAGGCAGAUGGGCUAUCAGGAUGAGAGAAGGGGUUUGGAUCCAUCAAGUCAUGAGCAGAAAUAGGAUGAUUGGUGGCAUUAGUGGUAACGUCAUGAAUGCUAGGCCUCUUCUUAUCCUUCUUUAUUGAGUUGAUGCGAAGAAAAUACUUCUGGGCAUGGCUGGCCACUUGAGUUGGUGUUCUUGAUACUACUGCAUUUCUUGAGAUGCUUCUCCAGUCUCCUUUCCCAUAUCUCUGUAGUCCUAUUAGAAACAACCUGUGCUCUUCUUCUGUCCAGGGGAUCCCCUUCCUCCUCUCGGUCGUCUCCUUCCCCUUCCCUGUAGACCCAAACCACACCUGACUCGUCCCUGACUCCGUAGCAGAACCCCAACCACC